AUUUUCUCGGGGGGGCAAUUGCCCCGUUGCCCCCCCGGAUCCGCCAAUGUAGUGAAUGCAGCUGCUGAAGAAAUGUAGGAAUUUGAAUACAGGGCUAAUUUAUGUUUACAACAAGAGGACAUAGUAUUAAAUUAGAGGGGCAAAGGUUUAAAAAUAAUAUCAGGAAGUUUUACUUUACUGCGAGGGUAGUGGGUGCAUGGAAUAGCCUCCCAGCUGAAGUGGUAAAGGUUAACACAGUGAGG
Non-coding RNA from Pelobates cultripes (western spadefoot toad), 242 nucleotides. The record is from the annotation of a GenBank genome assembly. NCBI's taxonomy places the organism in Eukaryota, Metazoa, Chordata, Amphibia, Anura, Pelobatidae.